GCGCUGUAGAGGUCCAGGUCUGCGUACACAGGAUGUCUGCAGCCGGGUCCAGCGGCUGUCUAUGUCUCUGGCCCAGUUGCACCUUCUGUACCUUGUUUUGCCUUCUCUUUGCUUGUGAUGGAGCGCUCUCUCCCACACACACUGUGAAGGACUCUUUAGACCUUUAGUCUGUCUUUCUGCUCAGCAGCUCCAGCUGCCCGAAGUACCCAGGAGAGGUCCUGAGACACCAUUGAAGUCACCAUUCCUAACACAGCAAAGGAGAACAAACUUUACCUGUCACCUCUCUCUGCUGCCGUGUGGGACCCAAAUUAGCAGAAGCACAGUCUAACUAAAGCAGCCUCCAGGUGGCUCCCACCUGCAGCUGCUGCCUCUUUGACACUCAAAGGCUCCUUUGUUUCUUCCUUCAUCACUGUGCUGCGCAGAGUUUUCUGUUGGAUUGACACAGCUUAGAGAGGAAGGGAAGAGGGAACUUCCAGCUGAGAAAAUUCUGCCCCGAGCAGAAUGACCGGCAGGCAAGCCUGGGAGGCCUUUUUUCUUAAUUGAGGACUGUGGUGUGGCUGUGCCCUCACUCACUAUGGGCAGCGCCACCUCUGGGCUGGUGGUGUCAGAAAGCCGACUAAGCAAGCUGAGAGCAGCAGGCCUGUAAGCAGCCUUCCUUCACGGCCUUUGCUUCCAUUCCUGGCACCAGGUUCCUGCCCUGCCUGAGUUCCUGCCUUGGCUUCCCUUGAUGACAGACUGUAGCGUGAAAGAUGAAGCAAUCCCUCUUCUCUUCAGGCUCCCUUGGUUGUGUUGUUUAUCGCAGGGAUAGAAAGCAGUAAUUUAUCUGGUUAGUGACUUAGUCCUAGUUAAUUCUUUCUCAUUUACCUUCUCUUUGUGGGCAGUUCCUGUAACAGGGUCGUUACACCUUCUCUGUAGGACUGUGAGGAGAGGUAGGGAAAGUCCACGGGCUGUGGCCCAGCUUCAGUGAGAACUCCAUAAAUGUUAACUGUGCGACCCAGAGAGCGCAGACGAGGGGCCCAUAAAACUAGAAGUGACACAGGUGGACUUUCAGAUAGGAAGGCCGCAACCUGUGAACCUUGGAGACUAUGACAGGUAUAUUUAGGCUUUCCAACGACAGGCACAGAUCAAGUGUCAGUAUCGGAGAUCCCAGUAUUAAAUCUCAGAUACCAUUGGUUGCCACACCCAUUAGUUUUGUGUGUUACUACAGAAAUAAAAAAAAUCAC
Mus pahari (shrew mouse) is the source of this 1223-nucleotide long non-coding RNA. RefSeq lists it as uncharacterized. NCBI's taxonomy places the organism in Eukaryota, Metazoa, Chordata, Mammalia, Rodentia, Muridae. The record is from RefSeq and is a predicted model, not a curated record. The transcript has 3 exons.